RNAcentral lists this ribosomal RNA (495 nucleotides) under uncultured bacterium. RNAcentral's name for it is "bacterial SSU rRNA". It matches the Rfam family "Bacterial small subunit ribosomal RNA", at positions 38 to 523 of the family's 1533-position model. The record is from RNAcentral.
GGCGGCGUGCUAACACAUGCAAGUCGAACGGAGAUAAGCGCUGAUGAUUUAGCUUGCUAGAGAUUCUUGCUUAUCUUAGUGCGGACGGGUGAGUAACGCGUGAGCAACCUGCCUUUCAGAGGGGGAUAACGUCUUGAAAAGGACGCUAAUACCGCAUGAUAUUAUGGAGCCACAUGGCUCUAUAAUCAAAGGAGCAAUCCGCUAGAAAGAUGGGCUCGCGUCCGAUUAGGUAGUUGGCGGGAUAACAGCCCACCAAGCCGACGAUCGGUAGCCGGACUGAGAGGUUGACGGCCACAGUUGGGACUGAGACGACGGCCCAGACUCCGUACGGGAGGCAGCAGUGGAGGGAUAGUUGGUCAAUGGGGGAAACCCCUGAACCAGCAACGCCGCGUGAGGGAUGACGGCCUUCGGGUUGUAAACCUCUGUCCUCUGUGAAGAUAAUGACGGUAGCAGAGGAGGAAGCUCCGGCUAACUACGUGCCAGCAGCCGCGGUAA